GAGUGAAAAGCACAAAGAACAAAGACAAAGAAGGUAAGUGAAAUUAAGUAACGCACGCUUCUUUGUCGUUUGUGCUUUGUUCUUUUUCACCUCUUUUCCCUCUUUGUUGCUGU
RNAcentral lists this non-coding RNA (113 nucleotides) under Symbiodinium sp. CCMP2430. Lineage: Eukaryota; Dinophyceae; Suessiales; Symbiodiniaceae. The record is from RNAcentral.